Molecule: ribosomal RNA, 194 nt
Filed under: uncultured Comamonadaceae bacterium
Lineage: Bacteria; Pseudomonadati; Pseudomonadota; Betaproteobacteria; Burkholderiales; Comamonadaceae
Description: partial 16S ribosomal RNA
Rfam family: Bacterial small subunit ribosomal RNA
Source: RNAcentral
CCUAGGGGAGGCAGUAGAGGGGAAUUUUGGACAAUGGGCGAAAGCCUGAUCCAGCAAUGCCGCGUGCAGGAUGAAGGCCCUCGGGUUGUAAUCUGCUUUUGUACGGAACGAAAAGCCUGGGGCCAAUACCCCCGGGUCAUGACGGUACCGUAAGAAUAAGCACCGGCUAACUACGUGCCAGCAGCCGCGGUAAU